RNAcentral lists this non-coding RNA (26 nucleotides) under Mus musculus (house mouse). Lineage: Eukaryota; Metazoa; Chordata; Mammalia; Rodentia; Muridae. The record is from RNAcentral.
UGAGCACUGGUCCUUUUCAAGGGGGU